Molecule: ribosomal RNA, 253 nt
Filed under: uncultured bacterium
Lineage: Bacteria
Description: partial 16S ribosomal RNA
Rfam family: Bacterial small subunit ribosomal RNA
Source: RNAcentral
UACAGAGGGUGCAAGCGUUAUUCGGAAUCAUUGGGCGUAAAGGGCGCGUAGGCGGUUUGUUAAGUCUGGUGUGAAAGCCCUGGUUUCAAAUCAGGAAGUGCAUUGGAUACUGGCAGACUAGAGCAUGGGAGAGGAGAGCGGAAUUCCCGGUGUAGAGGUGAAAUUCGUAGAUAUCGGGAGGAACAACAGUGGCGAAGGCAGCUCUCUGGACCAUCGCUGACGCUGAGGCGCGAAAGCGUGGGGAGCAAACAGG